CAUCACUACGCUAGAUGCAUAUCAAUAAGCGGAGGAAAAGAAACUAACAAGGAUUCCCUUAGUAACGGCGAGUGAAGCGGGAAGAGCUCAAAUUUGAAAUCUUCAAGGUUCUACCUUGACGAAUUGUAGUUUAUAGAAGUGUUUUCUGUUAGUAGAGUGGCAAAAGUUCUUUGGAAUAGGACAUCAUAGAGGGUGAGAAUCCCGUAUUUGGUCAUUCCUCCUAGCGUUGUGAUACACUUUCAACGAGUCGGAUUGUUUGGGAAUGCAGUCCAAAAUGGGUGGUAAAUUUCAUCUAAAGCUAAAUAUUGGCGAGAGACCGAUAGCGAACAAGUACCGUGAGGGAAAGAUGAAAAGAACUUUGAAAAGAGAGUUAAACAGUACGUGAAAUUGUCAAAAGGGAGGCGUUUGACACCAGUGUUGUUUUUUCCGAAAAUCGGUUGCGAAUGUUUUGUUUUUGAGGAGUUAUGACUUCAUCGGCUUGCUUCCUCUCUUUACUGAAACUUUCUUAAUGCACUUUUCGGUUAACAAGUCAACAUCAAUUUCUUUUGUUGUAAAAGGGUAUGAGGAAGGUGGCUUUCUUUUCGGAGAAAGUGUUUAUAGCCUUGUAGCCUCUACAAUCGGAGAGAUAGAGGUCUGCAGCGUAGAUCCUUCGGGGUUAGAUACAGUUUGUGCUAAGUUAUAGCUUUUCAUAGACAACUUGUUGACUAUGUUUAGUCUUGUAGCUUACUCGCAUGACGCUAUUUUACCUACGCUUAGGAUGUUGACGAGACUGUCGAUCUC
This 780-nucleotide ribosomal RNA is filed under the name uncultured Neocallimastigales. RNAcentral describes it as "partial large subunit ribosomal RNA". It matches the Rfam family "Eukaryotic large subunit ribosomal RNA", at positions 20 to 647 of the family's 3401-position model. The record is from RNAcentral. Lineage: Eukaryota; Fungi; Neocallimastigomycota; Neocallimastigomycetes; Neocallimastigales.